RNAcentral lists this long non-coding RNA (447 nucleotides) under Daucus carota (carrot). RNAcentral describes it as "long non-coding RNA (DCAR_LNC001993)". Lineage: Eukaryota; Viridiplantae; Streptophyta; Magnoliopsida; Apiales; Apiaceae. The record is from RNAcentral.
AGGGACUAGGUUACACUGAUAACUCUGAAGCUGAGUCAUCAAAAACAGAGUUUGUUAAAACUCAAAAACCUAAGGUUAAACCUGUCAAAUUUGUUGUUGAAUCCUCUAAGUCUAAACAGAGUAGACCAAAAUCAGAGAUUAACAAAAAUUUAAAAUCUGAUAAGCCCAAACAGGUUAACAUAGGACUGAUGACUCAGAAACAGCUUAAACACAAGCUUAAAGAAGUAAGACUAAUGACAAAAACAAGGAGCCUAGGAAAAACAGAAAUGGCAAGAUUGGAAUAGACAAGAGUAAUAACUACAUGCCUGUUCCAAAUGCACCUAGGAAAACAUGCCAUAACUGUGGUAAUACUAAUCAUCUUGCUAAUUUUUGCAGGAAGAACAAGGACAUUAACUCUUUACCUACAAAGUCUGGAGUUAGAAAAAGUAGUAUUAGAUAUAAACCACA